Gallus gallus (chicken) is the source of this 4833-nucleotide long non-coding RNA. The record is from Ensembl. Lineage: Eukaryota; Metazoa; Chordata; Aves; Galliformes; Phasianidae.
CCUGCCCAGAGCUGCGUGUGCCCCAUACCUGGAGGUGCCCGAGGCCAGGGGUGGCCUGGGUGUCCUGAGCUAGUGGGGUGUCCCUGCCUGGGGUAGGAACUGAAUGGCCCCUCUCCUCCCUUUCAUUCCAACCAUCCUAUGGAAGACGUAGCGCUGCCAGGGUGGCUUGGAGCUUUGCAGAGCUGCAUUUCCAGUUCUUGCUGCUACAGGAAUGGCCUGGUCUCCCAGUGCUUACCCAAUUGAAAUUGUUCUUCCUGCUAGAUUUUAAAGAGCAAAAAUCAGUAUUUUUGGUUACUGCCACUCGAACAGAUUAUAGGAUGUGCAAUAUCUGUUGCAAACAGGAGCGCAUAAUCCCCAGCACAGAAUUUUAGACGUUUCCUGGCUUCUUUGCAGAGGAACUGCAGCAGCUUCAGUGUGAUUCCUCCCAAAGGACGUUACCCCAGUGGGAUCACUUUGCCCUGGUUCAUACCAGCAACCUUUGUAUCUUCCAAUUCCAUGAGAAGCAAUAAGAGAAAACACACUGACAACCAGAAGGUUUUGCCACAAGACGUGCCUGUCAGGUUUGUCCCCCCUGUCAGAAAUGGCCAUUUUUACAAAGAGAAGAAAAAAAAUCCCAAGCUAGUCUGGCCACAUUAACCCUCAGGUGGAGAUAACUCGGGAUGGAGGUUCCCUUCCUGCAGCUCUCCCCUUGGCUGCAGGCUGUGCCCUCGGCUCCUGGCGGCUCAUAGUACUGUGCCUCUCUGCUGUCACCACCAGAUCUCCCAGAACAGUGAUAGAUGACACUGAUUGCCGUCUCAUUGGUACCCUGCUCUUUAAAAUGUCUUUUUUUUCCCCCCAUUUGAAUAGUACCUCUAUUACAUAAUGCAGUUAAUGUUAUUUUUUCUGGCUUGAUUGACUUCUCUCUGCAGAGCUGCAGUUGGAGUGCUCCUCAUGGCCACCCAGGAGCUGACAGAGAGCUUCACUGAUUCACAUAAAGAUAGCUGUGGCUCUUCGUGCAUUCUCUGAGUAACCAGCAGACUUCUGACACAUCCUUUAACCCAACUUCUGUUUGAAUGUGUUGGAACAGAUCCUGCUCCCAAGCUCAGCCCAGUGUAUGCUGCAGAGAGAGAUCCUAGCGGAGAGCAGAGCAGAAACGGUUUGGCUUGGGAGCAGUGUGGGGUCGGUGUGAGCAGUGCUGGGCUGCGGCUCAUGUGCUGCAGGAGGAGUGUGUGCUCACACUCUCCAGACCUCAGCACGGCACUGCAGUUCAUGUUGGCUCUGGAAUGGAAGAAGGAAGAUGGCUCAGCUUCAAGAACAUCUGUGAGUGGCAGAGAUUGGCCUUGCACACCACCAUAGUUUGGGGUGCCCAACUGGCCCUGCUCCCCAUCCCUGGAUUCUGGGAUGGACACCCAGGUGCUGCUGGUGGCCAUGGGGAAGGGACAUUGGGUCUGAGUUCAGCUCUUGGUGUCCAUGUAAUGAGUACUGGGCUUACCAGAGCAGCUCUGCUGUCCCCUCCGAUCUCCCAGUUCCUCUGUGAGUGUGCGUUGUGGUCUGGGGAGAAGGAACAACGUGAAGCUGAUUCGCUUAAGGCCACAUCCAAGGAAGGAAGAGAAAGAGAAGAGGACAGGCUGGAUUGAAUCAGUGAAAUUUAGGCAGCCUGACAUCAUGUGCAAAACUUGAAGUUUGUGAAACCCGUGUUCUGUAUAGCACAGCUGAGUGAUGGUCUCACAGCUGCUGGGGUUCGGUGCAGCAAAAGGGGGGUGCUGGGUUGGGGGGGCUGUGCAGGAGGAAGCUGAGUGAGUGGGAGAGCUCCUCCAUUUUGCCUUUGCUUAGCACUGAAGGUGUCACCCCUUCCUAAGCACUGUCUUGCAGGAACCAAAGGAGGAAGAUUAGGUGAUGCCCAAGGAGAAGCUCCUUGCAGCAGCUGCAGCUUCCUGCUGUUGGUGCUCAUAACUGUGUGAAAGCUUAAUGGCUCAUUAAAACACCACAUUGUCAUACUGCUUUAUUUUUAUCAUUAUUUUUUUAAGAACAAUGAGAGGAUUCUUAGCAGUUCCCAUCCUAAUAAAAACCCCGAAGUAAUCAAGUGUUGUAGGCUCAAAUAAGAGGACAUGGGGAGCCAGUAGGUGGUUGGGAGAGUGGCUGGGGGGCAGGUUAGCCACAAAAGAUGCAGGAGAUGAGGAGGGGUGAUGGUGCUGCAGGAUGGCACACUGGGAGAACACAGUGUAUUCUGCAAAAGCAGAGGUGACAAGAAUAAGGGUAAGUGCACAGAGCUGGCCAUGAUUGCAGAUGCAAAGCAGGAAAGAGCAGUGUGGUCUUGAGGUGUUUGUGCAUAAUUAGAACAAGGAAGAAUUGUUUUAAUUAGUAUGGGUGAUAAGUUGUGAGUAGAAAGUGGCAGUGAUAGGUGUAUGGAUAAUAGGAGAUGUGACACACAUAACCUUAACCUCAUCCAUCUUGUCUCUAUUCUGCAACAUGUUUCUAUAGGCAGUGCUUUCAGGCUGAAGUCAGGGAACGAAGGCUGCGUGCUGUGCUGAACUGUGAUGACUCCAUCCUUGGUCCCAGUGAGGGACAGCAGGGAAUAAUGUUACCCAAGCGUUGGAUAGCACAUUUAACAAUGUGGAGGUAAAGAAAAGGGUCACAGGUUGUCACAGGGGUUUACCACAAAUAAUAUCAUUAGUUUGGUGGAUGUCUUUGAUCAUUAGAAGUACUGGAAGUGGAAGGUGCUAUAAGAAAAAUGGCAAUGGGGAGAGCUAAGCAGGAGGUUCUCACCUGGGAGGACACAGCAGUUCGCUUACUUUUCAGGAACGCACCUUCAGCUUUUCUUUGCAUUGAACUAUCACAUGCACUAUGAAACCCUGAGCUGGAAGCUGCUGGGAGAACCCGUAGCUCUGAACUUCCUGCCAGGAAGGGUGCUCAGGAGGCGUGAGAAGUGUUGGUGUUCUUGCACAGCGUGGGCACGUCAUCCAGAGGAGCUCACAGACAGGUGUGCAUGCUCAGGAAUUGGGUGCACGGCUCUGACCGGUGGUAACAUGGAUGGAGAACCCCUCUCUGAAGAGGUGACCCAACUGGAAAUUGCUGAGGGAGCUGUAGCAGUGGGAAAAUCCACGUGGUGGUUCGAACAAGUGUGCUUCACGGUGUCUCAUGGCAUGCAGGAUUGAAGACAAGAAGAUAAUAAACAAUGCAGUUUGUUUAUAUGUGCCGUGUCUCCCACUGGUCUUUGUGCUUUGGGUAGGGAAUGUACGAGGCUGGGGAUCAGGGAGGAUGGAUCUGGCAGUCCGCAGUCUGCCUUGCCACGUGCUUUGUUGUAGGAGCAUAGUGGAAGGAUGUUGGUGGAGACUUGACAACCUGGAUGCAUUGGCUUGUUUCUGUGUCACCCUCAGGGCUUCGUUGCACCGGCUGUGUGGAAGGGAGCUCAGAAUCCAGGAACCACCAGUGCAGUUCAGUGGUUUUGUAGCUGGAGAUGAAACUGGAGUGGGAGUGAGGACACUGCAGAAGGAAACAUUCUGUAGAACUGCCAAAAUGUUCGACCUCAGCUUAGAAGGGCUGCAGGGAUGGUGGCAGUCAGCUGAGGACCUGUGAUGCUCAUCGUUGGACUGAAGUUCUCAGAAUUUCCUCUGUAACGAUGGCUUCAAUUCAUCUGUUCCUAUGAGGCAGUUCUGGUUGGGCUUGGCAUGCUCUGUCCCAGCUGUCAGGUCUGGGAUGUAUCCCCUUUUUGAAAUAAAAAUGUUUUCAAUGCUGUGCAUUUGAAAUCCACACUGAUCUGCUGUUACACUGGGAAAAAAAAAAAAGGGUAUGGAAACUUUCCAAAAAAAAAAAACCAGCUUCAACCAGAGACAGAGUUUGCAUUUUAUUGGAUUGUGUCAUGCAUAUUCACAAGUCGCUCUGAAAGUAAUACCUGCUAUUUAUUUCCUUGGAAACAACAACUGCCACAGAGAGCACACUAACACCGUUUGAUGGAGCAAAUUCUCAGCUACAAAACAUUGUGUGGUUUGAGUUCAAAGGGGUCUUAAGGCCCGACAUCGUUCAGUUUGUAGGUGGACAAACAUUCUUAACGGCUCCAUGCGUGGAUUGCUUGUACUUAGCUGGAAAAGCAAAGGCCUGAAGGAAUACACGCAGAUAGACCUGCUUCUGUAAGUGGUUAUGAGCAAAUGAAUUGCUGCGCACAAAGUGUCUGUGUCGGUGUUCUAUUUCCCACUGAAGCCUUCGUGUGUAGGAACCAUGCAUUGGUGCCCACAUCCUUGAAGAACAGCUAUUAGCAAUGAAGAACAGAUGAUGGGAUGUGGGAAGAGGAGGGAUCACCACCAUAUGGGCAGGAGAAACUCACAGUCAAAGGUGAGGAUUGGCAUUGGAUUGCCAUUGGGAGCAGAGCGGGGGGAAUUGUGCCUGGCUCUGAAUGGAGGGAUGACUGGACGUCUCGGGGAUGGAAGUGCCAGCAGUGUUUGGUCUGUCACAGCAAAUACCUGCAGUUGGGAAAUGGUGUUAGGGAGAGAAACGGAAAUGGACUUAAAACACCCAAGGACGAGGCAGUGUUCUUGAAACACGGGAGCAUCACGUUGCUGUUAACAUUCUAGCACCAGAACGUGGUUUGGGGUAAUGCUUUGCAGACAACUGCAAACUUCUGGAGACCAAGUGGUGGAGGAGGAUGGCCAAAUAACCACGUGGUUGUGGUUCUGCAUGUGGAUGGACAGUGAGCGGCAGGUUCUGAGGUGAGCUGGCCGCAGGUAAGUGGAGCAGCAAGGUUGGGCUGGGAGCACUGCUCCAGCCCUGUGUUUUCUUUCCCAUCUGCCCUAACAUCGGGGUGACCCACAUUUUUAAAUUAGCAGCACAUCCAUCUAUCCGAACUGCUCCUUUCGGGAG